UCUCAAAAAUCAAAUAGCUACUUUGCAUGACUACACAUUCUAUGCUCAACUUCCUGUUCACUUGUGGUCAAGGUCACUCUAAUCUGAGGAUUGUGUCAUGUGGCACAGCUGAAGCGCUCACCAAAGAGGACACCCUUCUUGUAGGCCUGGGGAUGAGGGGUCAGGCAAAUCACCCACAUCUGUGAAGAUUUCAUGUUUUGUUAUUUUUGUAAUAUUAAUUUUUGUUACAUUUAUAAUGUUAUAUCUAUUGUCAAGGAAAAAAUAUUUAGAUGUGUUCCAUGUCUGAAUAUGGGUGCAAAAAUAAAGCUUGAUUUACCGUCA
Molecule: long non-coding RNA, 321 nt
Organism: Oncorhynchus nerka (sockeye salmon)
Lineage: Eukaryota; Metazoa; Chordata; Actinopteri; Salmoniformes; Salmonidae
Exons: 2
Source: RefSeq, a predicted model, not a curated record